UCCAUCUUAUCCCAUAGUACUACCUGCUAAACUAUUAAUAUAGUAGGGUUGGGGAAGAUGGGACAC
RNAcentral lists this microRNA precursor (66 nucleotides) under Ciona intestinalis (vase tunicate). RNAcentral describes it as "miRNA (ENSCING00000022877.1)". Lineage: Eukaryota; Metazoa; Chordata; Ascidiacea; Phlebobranchia; Cionidae. The record is from RNAcentral.